GGACGGGAGUAAAGCGGCGAAAGGGUGAGUAAUACGUGGACAACCUGCCCCCGGAUCCGGGAUAACCCAGGGAAACUUGGACUAAUACCGGAUGGUAACUGAAGACCGCAUGGUUUUCGGAUUAAAGCUCCGGCGUCUGGGGAGGGGUUCACGGCCUAUCAGCUUGUUGGCGGGGUAACGGCCCACCAAGGCAAUGACGGGUAGCCGGACUGAGAGGUUGGUCGGCCACAUGGGCACUGAGACACGGGCCCAACACCUACGGGUGGCAGCAGUAGGGAAUAUUGCGCAAUGGGCGAAAGCCUGACGCAGCGACGCCGCGUGCGGGACGAAGCUUUUCGGAGUGUAAACCGCUUUUCUGGGGGAAGAAUACUGACGGUACCUCAGGAAUAAGCACCGGCUAACUCCGUGCCAGCAGCUGCGGUAAUACGGAGGGUGCGAACGUUGUUCGGAUUCACUGGGCGUAAAGGGUCCGUAGGCGGCCCGGCAAAUCGGUUGUGGAAUCCCGACGCUCACCGUCGGAAUUGUUGCCGAAAAUACCGGGCUGGAGGUCGUCAGGGGCGAGUGGAACUCAUGGUGGAGCGGUGAAAUGCGUAGAUAUCAUGAGGAACGCCGGAGGCGAAAGCGACUCGCUGGGACGAUUCUGACGCUGAGGGACGAAAGCUAGGGGAGCAAACAGGAUUAGAUACCCUGGUAGUCCUAGCCGUAAACGAUGAGGACUAAGUGGAGGAGAUUUCGGUUUUCUCUGCUGCAGCUAACGCAUUAAGUCCUCCGCCUGGGGAGUACGGCCGCAAGGUUAAAACUCAAAGGAAUUGACGGGGGCUCGCACAAGCGGUGGAGCAUGUGGUUCAAUUCGAUACCACGCGAAGAACCUUAUCCGGGCUUGAAGUGCUGGUGGUACCGAUCCGAAAGGUGAGGGACCCUUCGGGGAGCCAGCAUCAGGUGUUGCAUGGCUGUCGUCAGCUCGUGUCGUGAGAUGUUGGGUUAAGUCCCGUAACGAGCGAAACCCUUGCGCUUAGUUGCCACUCCCUUCGGGGAAGCACUUUAAGCGGACUGCCCGUGUCGAAUGGGAGGAAGGUGGGGAUGACGUCAAGUCAUCAUGGCCCUUAUGUCCGGGGCUACACACGUGCUACAAUGGCGUGUACAAAGGGUUGCCAACCCGCGAGGGGGAGCCAAUCCCAUCAAAGCACGCCCCAGUUCGGAUCGGAGGCUGCAACUCGCCUCCGUGAAGUUGGAAUCGCUAGUAAUCGCGGAUCAGCUACGCCGCGGUGAAUAUGUUCCCGAGCCUUGUACACACCGCCCGUCAAGCCACCCAAGCAUGGGGCGCCUUAAGUCCGUUACCUAACCUUCGGGAGGGUGCGGCCCAGGGUGAAACGUGUGAGGAGGGCUAAGUCGUAACAAGGUA
Molecule: ribosomal RNA, 1402 nt
Filed under: metagenome
Description: bacterial SSU rRNA
Rfam family: Bacterial small subunit ribosomal RNA
Source: RNAcentral